Molecule: ribosomal RNA, 482 nt
Filed under: uncultured bacterium
Lineage: Bacteria
Description: partial 16S ribosomal RNA
Rfam family: Bacterial small subunit ribosomal RNA
Source: RNAcentral
AUUGAACGCUGGCGGCAUGCCUUACACAUGCAAGUCGAACGGUAACGGGCCUUCGGGUGCCGACGAGUGGCGAACGGGUGAGUAAUACAUCGGAACGUGCCCGAUCGUGGGGGAUAACGAGGCGAAAGCUUUGCUAAUACCGCAUACGAUCUACGGAUGAAAGCAGGGGACCGCAAGGCCUUGCGCGGACGGAGCGGCCGAUGGCAGAUUAGGUAGUUGGUGGGAUAAAAGCUUCCCAAGCCGACGAUCUGUAGCUGGUCUGAGAGGAUGAUCCGCCACACUGGGACUGAGACACGGCCCAGACUCCUACGGGAGGCAGCAGUGGGGAAUGUUGGACAAUGGGCGCAAGCCUGAUCCAGCCAUGCCGCGUGCAGGAUGAAGGCCUUCGGGUUGUAAACUGCUUUUGUACGGAACGAAAAGCAUUCUUUUAAUACAGGAGGGUCAUGACGGUACCGGAAGAAUAAGCACCGGCUAACUACGUG